GAAGGAGCUCUUGCCUGCUGUAGCUGCUUGAGACCUGGUGCUGCCUGCCUAGCUUUCCCAGUACUGCCUGCUCUGCUAUCUUGGUGUUACAUGACUACAGGGAGUCUCCCAGCAGAAGCUGUAUUCCAGCAGAAUCUGAGAGUCUACAUGAAGAUGGGAAAGAGGGAGUUGUCCCUCAAGUACCAUAUUUUCGUGCAUAUAUCCCGCGAGGAAUAUUCUUACUAGGAAAGUGAAUAAUUAGAAUAUUUGUUGACCGUUAACUAUGUUGCUGAGUGGCAUGGACAUCUUACUGGUUACAUUGCUGCUUCUUUUAUUUCGUGCUGCAACUAGCUCAUUCCUCUCAGAUUGGAUCCCUGGUCUUCAGAGCAAGAUGGCUGACUUUAGAGAUCUCUGAAAAAUUUCCAGUGGACCAGUUACCCCUCAGAAAUUAAAAUGUCAUUUAUGUUCCAAUGCUCACAUUAAACAUUUUGUUCCAAAAAGCCAAAAGGAAAGUUUUGAUUUAAUUUAAUUUUGAUAAUUUUAAACCUUCUUUUCAAUGUUGUC
Molecule: long non-coding RNA, 543 nt
Organism: Alligator mississippiensis (American alligator)
Lineage: Eukaryota; Metazoa; Chordata; Crocodylia; Alligatoridae
Exons: 4
Source: RefSeq, a predicted model, not a curated record